AACAGCUCAAAUUUGAAAUCUGGCCCUUCCGGGGUCCGAGUUGUAAUUUGUAGAGAGUGCUUCGGGGGAGAGUGCGGUCUAAGUCCAUUGGAACAUGGUGUCAUAGAGGGUGAGAAUCCCGUACGUGACCGCGGAUCGAACCCGUGUGAAGCCUCUUCGACGAGUCGAGUUGUUUGGGAAUGCAGCUCAAAAUGGGUGGUAAAUUUCAUCUAAAGCUAAAUACUGGCUGGAGACCGAUAGCGCACAAGUAGAGUGAUCGAAAGAUGAAAAGCACUUUGGAAAGAGAGUUAAACAGUACGUGAAAUUGUUGAAAGGGAAGCGCUGGCAACCAGACCUGCCCGUAGGCGAUCAACCGCUGUUCUCAGCGGUGCACUCGUUCUGCGAUCAGGCCAGCAUCGGUUUCGGCGGUCGGAUAAAGGCCUUGGGAAUGUAGCUUCCUUUCGGGGGAGUCUUAUAGCCCUCGGUGCAAUGCGGCCAGCCGGGACCGAGGACCGCGCUUCGGCAUGGAUGCUGGCGUAAUGGUUGUCAGCGACC
This 534-nucleotide ribosomal RNA is filed under the name Parmotrema preperforatum. Its description in RNAcentral is "eukaryotic LSU rRNA". It matches the Rfam family "Eukaryotic large subunit ribosomal RNA", at positions 103 to 649 of the family's 3401-position model. The record is from RNAcentral. Lineage: Eukaryota; Fungi; Ascomycota; Lecanoromycetes; Lecanorales; Parmeliaceae.